ACUUUUGAUCAUGUCAUUAAUUUUUACGUUGACUGUACAUAAACUCUACAAAUAAUUUGCUGUUGACUAUAAAACCACAUCCUUCUUUUUAAUAGACUGGAGAUGUAAUAUUACUGCCUAGUAUCGUAUUUCAAAUUGUUACGUAUAUUGCAUCAUCGUCUAGUCAGGGAAAGUGAAAGGACAAGGUGAAGGUCAGCCUACAUCCUUCGGAACAACUUUUGUUGAGUCACUUCGAUAACACUUAUCGCAAUCGAAAAGACUGCGUGUUGUCUAAUAAAAUAUCGUAUCCGUCGGGUUUUUGCCGCAUAGUUGUUUAUUUUAUAAAACGUACUAAAUUAUUAUUAACAUUAUACUGACUAAUUUAUCGUGUUGUGCGUACGCAUCUUUGGAUCCACGACUGGAAUUAUAAUAACAUAAUUUAUUGGAUAAUUCGUUAAAGAGGCCAAUAUGUUGUAAUAAUUGUUGGGGAAUACCACUAUAUGGUCAGAUAUAACCGGACUGAGAUUGCCAAUAUCUAAGGACAAUUAUUGGGAGAUACCACAUAUAACUACUGUAUGGUUAGAAAUAACCUGAAGGCAUUUUGCACCCCUAAUUUUAAAGGUUUUUUGGUACAGAUAUGUAAUGUGCGAACAGAUUUUGAAAAGUAAAUUUCUGCCUUU
Agrilus planipennis (emerald ash borer) is the source of this 659-nucleotide long non-coding RNA. RefSeq lists it as uncharacterized. The transcript has 3 exons. The record is from RefSeq and is a predicted model, not a curated record. NCBI's taxonomy places the organism in Eukaryota, Metazoa, Arthropoda, Insecta, Coleoptera, Buprestidae.